RNAcentral lists this ribosomal RNA (253 nucleotides) under uncultured bacterium. RNAcentral describes it as "partial 16S ribosomal RNA". It matches the Rfam family "Bacterial small subunit ribosomal RNA", at positions 524 to 776 of the family's 1533-position model. The record is from RNAcentral.
UACGUAGGGCGCAAGCGUUGUCCGGAAUUAUUGGGCGUAAAGAGCUCGUAGGCGGCUUGUCGCGUCGGUUGUGAAAGCCCGGGGCUUAACCCCGGGUCUGCAGUCGAUACGGGCAGGCUAGAGUGUGGUAGGGGAGAUCGGAAUUCCUGGUGUAGCGGUGAAAUGCGCAGAUAUCAGGAGGAACACCGGUGGCGAAGGCGGGUCUCUGGGCCGUAACUGACGCUGAGGAGCGAAAGCGUGGGGAGCGAACAGG